CCCUUAGAUAUUCUGGGCCGCACACGCGCUACACUGGCAGGUUCAUCGAGCUUCAUGCCCUGAUCUGAGAAGAACGGGAAAUCUUUGAACACCUGCCGUGCUUGGGAUAGAUGUUUGCAAUUAUUCAUCUUCAACGAGGAUUGCCUUGUAAGCGCACGUCAUCAGCGUGCAUUGAAUACGACCCUGUAUUCUGUACACACCGCCCGUCGCUCCUACCGAUUGAAGUUUUCGGUGAAUUUACUGGAGAUCCCUUUUGAAGGUGGUUCGCCACUGGAAGAAGUAUUCAAAAGUAAAUGAAUCGAAUGCUUUAGAGGAAGGAGAAGUCGUAACA
RNAcentral lists this ribosomal RNA (331 nucleotides) under uncultured eukaryote. Its description in RNAcentral is "partial 18S ribosomal RNA". It matches the Rfam family "Eukaryotic small subunit ribosomal RNA", at positions 1470 to 1796 of the family's 1831-position model. The record is from RNAcentral.